This 84-nucleotide transfer RNA is filed under the name Candidatus Woesearchaeota archaeon. RNAcentral describes it as "tRNA-Ser". It matches the Rfam family "tRNA". From Rfam's summary of the family: Transfer RNA (tRNA) molecules are approximately 80 nucleotides in length. The record is from RNAcentral. Lineage: Archaea; Nanobdellati; Candidatus Woesearchaeota.
GCCGAGGUCGCUUAAUCCGGUAUAGCGCCGGUCUUGAAAACCGGUGUCCGAAAGGAUGUGCAGGUUCAAAUCCUGCCCUCGGCG